RNAcentral lists this ribosomal RNA (465 nucleotides) under uncultured Klebsiella sp. RNAcentral's name for it is "bacterial SSU rRNA". It matches the Rfam family "Bacterial small subunit ribosomal RNA", at positions 338 to 795 of the family's 1533-position model. Lineage: Bacteria; Pseudomonadati; Pseudomonadota; Gammaproteobacteria; Enterobacterales; Enterobacteriaceae. The record is from RNAcentral.
CCUACGGGAGGCUGCAGUGGGGAAUAUUGCACAAUGGGCGCAAGCCUGAUGCAGCCAUGCCGCGUGUGUGAAGAAGGCCUUCGGGUUGUAAAGCACUUUCAGCGGGGAGGAAGGCGUUAAGGUUAAUAACCUCAUCGAUUGACGUUACCCGCAGAAGAAGCACCGGCUAACUCCGUGCCAGCAGCCGCGGUAAUACGGAGGGUGCAAGCGUUAAUCGGAAUUACUGGGCGUAAAGCGCACGCAGGCGGUCUGUCAAGUCGGAUGUGAAAUCCCCGGGCUCAACCUGGGAACUGCAUUCGAAACUGGGAGGCUAGAGUCUUGUAGAGGGGGGUAGAAUUCCAGGUGUAGCGGUGAAAUGCGUAGAGAUCUGGAGGAAUACCGGUGGCGAAGGCGGCCCCCUGGACAGAGACUGACGCUCAGGUGCGAAAGCGUGGGGAGCAAACAGGAUUAGAUACCCGAGUAGUC